Molecule: ribosomal RNA, 474 nt
Filed under: uncultured bacterium
Lineage: Bacteria
Description: SSU rRNA
Rfam family: Bacterial small subunit ribosomal RNA
Source: RNAcentral
AGGACGAACGCUGGCGGCGUGCUUAACACAUGCAAGUCGAGCGGUAAGGCCCUUCGGGGUACACGAGCGGCGAACGGGUGAGUAACACGUGGGUGAUCUGCCUCGCACUCUGGGAUAAGCCUGGGAAACUGGGUCUAAUACCGGAUAUGACCAUGGGAUGCAUGUUCUGUGGUGGAAAGAUUUAUUGGUGCGAGAUGAGCCCGCGGCCUAUCAGCUUGUUGGUGAGGUAACGGCCCACCAAGGCGACGACGGGUAGCCGGCCUGAGAGGGCGAUCGGCCACACUGGGACUGAGACACGGCCCAGACUCCUACGGGAGGCAGCAGUGGGGAAUAUUGCGCAAUGGGCGGAAGCCUGACGCAGCGACGCCGCGUGCGGGAUGAAGGCCUUCGGGUUGUAAACCGCUUUCAGCAGGGACGAAUUCAGACGGUACCUGCAGAAGAGCGCCGGCUAACGUACGCGCCAGCAGCCGCGGU